AGUAACGCGUGAGGAACCUGCCUCAAAGAGGGGGACAACAGUUGGAAACGACUGCUAAUACCGCAUAAGCCCACGGCUCGGCAUCGAGCAGAGGGAAAAGGAGUGAUCCGCUUUGAGAUGGCCUCGCGUCCGAUUAGCUAGUUGGUGAGGUAAAGGCUCACCAAGGCGACGAUCGGUAGCCGGACUGAGAGGUUGAACGGCCACAUUGGGACUGAGACACGGCCCAG
RNAcentral lists this ribosomal RNA (227 nucleotides) under uncultured bacterium. RNAcentral's name for it is "partial 16S ribosomal RNA". It matches the Rfam family "Bacterial small subunit ribosomal RNA", at positions 109 to 334 of the family's 1533-position model. The record is from RNAcentral.